RNAcentral lists this ribosomal RNA (445 nucleotides) under uncultured bacterium. RNAcentral's name for it is "bacterial SSU rRNA". It matches the Rfam family "Bacterial small subunit ribosomal RNA", at positions 331 to 793 of the family's 1533-position model. The record is from RNAcentral.
CCAGACUCCUACGGGAGGCAGCAGUGGGGAAUAUUGCACAAUGGGGGAAACCCUGAUGCAGCGACGCCGCGUGAGUGAAGAAGUAUUUCGGUAUGUAAAGCUCUAUCAGCAGGGAAGAUAAUGACGGUACCUGAGUAAGAAGCCCCGGCUAACUACGUGCCAGCAGCCGCGGUAAUACGUAGGGGGCAAGCGUUAUCCGGAUUUACUGGGUGUAAAGGGAGCGUAGACGGCAUGGCAAGUCUGAAGUGAAAGCCCGGGGCUCAACCGCGGGACUGCUUUGGAAACUACCGGACUGGAGUGUCGGAGGGGUAAGUGGAAUUCCUAGUGUAGCGGUGAAAUGCGUAGAUAUUAGGGGGAACACCAGUGGCGAAGGCGGCUUACUGGACGAUCACUGACGCUGAGGCUCGAAAGCGUGGGGAGCAAACAGGAUUAGAUACCCUCGUAG